GUCAUUUUAUCAAAUGUGUGUUAACGUGUUUGCAGUGCAGUCUUCGUCGAAAAUUUGCUCUGGUCCCUUGGUACAUGUAUACUUCAUUUUAUUGGACUGCUUUGGAUAAGGAAGAUGCUUUAUAGUCUGGAUAAAUAUAUGGGGAAUUACAGACCUUCAGGGAUAACAUUCUUUAUUGAAUGGAUGAAAAGAAAAGGCGAAAUGCGAAAAAAAAACUUGAAGAUCGAGUGAAUGCAGGCAAACGAAGAGGAACGUAAUAAAGAGAUGUAGAAAUGAUUGAAUUCCCAGCACACCUCAUUAUCCGAAUCCUCCUGAUGCCCAGGGAGGGCUUACGGUCUUAAAGAAACGAUUCAAACAUGAUUUGUAUUAAAGCCAACAAUCUCCCGCACUGGAACAUCAAAUUACUGAGAACUUAAACAGAAAAUGCAUGUGUGGAGUU
This 439-nucleotide long non-coding RNA is filed under the name Sinocyclocheilus anshuiensis. RNAcentral's name for it is "lncRNA (ENSSANG00000035149.1)". The record is from RNAcentral. Lineage: Eukaryota; Metazoa; Chordata; Actinopteri; Cypriniformes; Cyprinidae.